Molecule: ribosomal RNA, 306 nt
Filed under: uncultured Bdellovibrio sp.
Lineage: Bacteria; Pseudomonadati; Bdellovibrionota; Bdellovibrionia; Bdellovibrionales; Pseudobdellovibrionaceae
Description: bacterial SSU rRNA
Rfam family: Bacterial small subunit ribosomal RNA
Source: RNAcentral
AACAAACGCUGGCGGCGUGCCUAAUACAUGCAAGUCGAACGAGGAAUUACCUUCGGGUAUAGUACUAGUGGCGCACGGGAGAGGAUCACGUAGGUAAUCUGCCCUGGGGCGGGGAACAACCAGUCGAAAGAUUGGCUAAUACCCCGUAAGACCACGAUCACUAAUGUGAAUGUGGUAAAAGAUUUAUCGCCCCAGGAUGAGCCUACGCCCCAUUAGCUUGAUGGUAGGGUAACGGCCUACCAUGGCUACGAUGGGUAACUGGUCUGAGAGGAUGAUCAGUCUCACUGGAACUGAGACACGGUCCAG